Molecule: ribosomal RNA, 468 nt
Filed under: uncultured bacterium
Lineage: Bacteria
Description: partial 16S ribosomal RNA
Rfam family: Bacterial small subunit ribosomal RNA
Source: RNAcentral
GAUGAACGCUGGCGGCGUGCCUAAUACAUGCAAGUCGAACGGAAAGGCGCUGCUCUUGCUGCGCGCUUGUUAGGCGAACGGGGGAGUAAAACGCGAGUAUCACCCACUUGUCUGACGGAUAACUCUUGGGAACACGGGCUAUAAUCGGGUAGGAUAUUCUGAACCGUGGGGUGGGAUGGAAAGAGUCGGCGGUUGGGGAUGGACUCGCGGCUUAUGAGCUGGUUGGUGGGGUAGUGGCUGACCAAGGUUAUGAAGGGUAGCCGGCCUGAGAGGGUGACCGGCCACAUUGGGACUGAGAUACGGCCCAGACUCCUACGGGAGGCAGCAGUGGGGAAUAUUGCACAAUGGGCGGAAGCCUGAUGCAGCAACGCCGCGUGCGGGAUGACGGCCUUCGGGUUGUAAACCGCUUUCGCCUGUGACGAAGCGUGAGUGACGGUAAUGGGUAAAGAAGCACCGGCUAACUACGUG